UAGCCGUAAACGAUACUCGCUAGGUGUCGGCCACGGUGCGACCGUUGUCGGUGCCGUAGGGAAGCCGUGAAGCGAGCCACCUGGGAAGUACGGCCGCAAGGCUGAAACUUAAAGGAAUUGGCGGGGGAGCACCACAACGGGUGGAGCUUUGCGGUUUAAUUGGAUUCAACGCCGGAAAUCGUACCGGGACCGACAGCAACAUGAAGGCCAAGCUGAAGACUUUGCCGGAUUAGCUGAGAGGAGGUGCAUGGCGUAGUCGUGU
Molecule: ribosomal RNA, 262 nt
Filed under: uncultured archaeon
Lineage: Archaea
Description: partial 16S ribosomal RNA
Rfam family: Archaeal small subunit ribosomal RNA
Source: RNAcentral